Caenorhabditis elegans is the source of this 145-nucleotide non-coding RNA. The record is from Ensembl. Lineage: Eukaryota; Metazoa; Nematoda; Chromadorea; Rhabditida; Rhabditidae.
CGUCGCCACGCACGUCACGCUCACAAAACACUCAUUCAUGCGCUCACGGAACGCUCACACACUCAUGACAUACACACAUCAUUUCGCCUCACACACCGCGCCGUCGCCAUCCGCACCGCCCGGGUGGGACGUGUUCAAACUUUUC